This 460-nucleotide ribosomal RNA is filed under the name uncultured bacterium. RNAcentral's name for it is "partial 16S ribosomal RNA". It matches the Rfam family "Bacterial small subunit ribosomal RNA", at positions 338 to 795 of the family's 1533-position model. The record is from RNAcentral.
CCUACGGGAGGCAGCAGUGAGGAAUAUUGGUCAAUGGGCGCGAGCCUGAACCAGCCAAGUAGCGUGAAGGAUGACUGCCCUACGGGUUGUAAACUUCUUUUAUAAAGGAAUAAAGUGAGGCACGUGUGCCUGUUUGUAUGUACUUUAUGAAUAAGGAUCGGCUAACUCCGUGCCAGCAGCCGCGGUAAUACGGAGGAUCCGAGCGUUAUCCGGCUUUAUUGGGUUUAAAAGGAGCGUAGAUGGGUUGUUAAGUCAGUUGGGAAAGUCUGGGGCCCAAACGUAAAAUUGCAAUUGAUACUGGAAGCCUUGAGUACAGUUGAGGUAGGCGGAAUUCGUGGUGUAGCGGUGAAAUGCUUAGAUAUCACGAAGAAUUCCGAUUGCGAAGGCAGCCUACUAAACUGCCACUGACAUUGAUGCUCGAAAGUGUGGGUAUCAAACAGGAUUAGAUACCCUUGUAGUC